GACGAACGCUGGCGGCGUGCUUAACACAUGCAAGUCGAACGGAAAGGCCCUGCUUUUGUGGGGUGCUCGAGUGGCGAACGGGUGAGUAACACGUGAGUAACCUGCCCUUGACUUUGGGAUAACUUCAGGAAACUGGGGCUAAUACCGGAUAGGAGCUCCUGCUGCAUGGUGGGGGUUGGAAAGUUUCGGCGGUUGGGGAUGGACUCGCGGCUUAUCAGCUUGUUGGUGGGGUAGUGGCUUACCCAGGCUUUGACGGGUAGCCGGCCUGAGAGGGUGACCGGCCACAUUGGGACUGAGAUACGGCGCAGACUCCUACGGGAGGCAGAAGUGGGGAAUAUUGCACAAUGGGCGGAAGCCUGAUGCAGCGACGCCGCGUGCGGGAUGACGGCCUUCGGGUUGUAAACCGCUUUCGCCUGUGACGAAGCGUGAGUGACGGUAAUGGGUAAAGAAGCACCGGCUAACUACGUG
This 468-nucleotide ribosomal RNA is filed under the name uncultured bacterium. RNAcentral describes it as "partial 16S ribosomal RNA". It matches the Rfam family "Bacterial small subunit ribosomal RNA", at positions 28 to 507 of the family's 1533-position model. The record is from RNAcentral.